RNAcentral lists this ribosomal RNA (1016 nucleotides) under uncultured bacterium. Its description in RNAcentral is "bacterial SSU rRNA". It matches the Rfam family "Bacterial small subunit ribosomal RNA", at positions 28 to 1030 of the family's 1533-position model. The record is from RNAcentral.
GACGAACGCUGGCGGCGUGCUUAACACAUGCAAGUCGAACGGAGAAUAUAGCAAUAUAUUCUUAGUGGCGAACGGGUGAGUAACGCGUAGACAACCUGCCUCAAAGAUGGGGACAACACCGCGAAAGUGGUGCUAAUACCGAAUGUGCUAAUGAUAUCUCAUGAUGUUAUUAGGAAAGGUGGCCUCUUUAAAUGCUACCGCUUUGAGAUGGGUCUGCGUCUGAUUAGCUAGUUGGUGAGGUAACGGCUCACCAAGGCGACGAUCAGUAGCCGGUCUGAGAGGAUGAACGGCCACACUGGGACUGAGACACGGCCCAGACUCCUACGGGAGGCAGCAGUGGGGAAUCUUCCGCAAUGGACGAAAGUCUGACGGAGCAACGCCGCGUGAGUGAAGAAGGCCUUCGGGUUGUAAAGCUCUGUCUUCAGGGACGAAUGUGAGAUAGGUGAAUAAUCUAUUUCAAUGACGGUACCUGAGGAGGAAGCCACGGCUAACUACGUGCCAGCAGCCGCGGUAAUACGUAGGUGGCAAGCGUUGUCCGGAAUUAUUGGGCGUAAAGCGCGCGCAGGCGGGAUACCAAGUCUAUCUUAAAAGUUCGGGGCUCAACCCCGUGAUGGGAUGGAAACUGGUAUUCUUGAGUGUCGGAGAGGAAAGUGGAAUUCCCAGUGUAGCGGUGAAAUGCGUAGAUAUUGGGAGGAACACCAGUGGCGAAGCGACUUUCUGGACGAUGUCUGACGCUGAGCGCGAAAGCCAGGGAAGUGAACGGGAUUAGAUACCCCGGUAAUCCUGGCCGUAAACGAUGGGUACUAGGUGUAGAGGGUAUCGACCCCUUCUGUGCCGGAGUUAACGCAAUAAGUACCCCGCCUGGGGAGUACGGUCGCAAGGUUGAAACUCAAGGAAUUGACGGGGGCCCGCACAAGCGGUGGAGUAUGUGGUUUAAUUCGACGCAACGCGAAGAACCUUACCAGGACUUGACAUUGAGUGAAAGGUCUAGAAUGAUCCCUCCCUUCGGGGACACA